This 63-nucleotide transfer RNA is filed under the name Ophidascaris sp. CYZ-2020. RNAcentral describes it as "tRNA-Lys". It matches the Rfam family "tRNA". Rfam says of the family: Transfer RNA (tRNA) molecules are approximately 80 nucleotides in length. Their secondary structure includes four short double-helical elements and three loops (D, anti-codon, and T loops). Further hydrogen bonds mediate the characteristic L-shaped molecular structure. tRNAs have two regions of fundamental functional importance: the anti-codon, which is responsible for specific mRNA codon recognition, and the 3' end, to which the tRNAs corresponding amino acid is attached (by aminoacyl-tRNA synthetases). tRNAs cope with the degeneracy of the genetic code in two manners: having more than one tRNA (with a specific anti-codon) for a particular amino acid; and 'wobble' base-pairing, i.e. permitting non-standard base-pairing at the 3rd anti-codon position. The record is from RNAcentral. Lineage: Eukaryota; Metazoa; Nematoda; Chromadorea; Rhabditida; Anisakidae.
GGGGUGUUAACUUAAGUUUUAAAGUGUUAGAUUUUUAAUCUAGAAAUGGAGUUCCACGCUCUG